CCUACGGGAGGCAGCAGUGGGGAAUAUUGCACAAUGGGGGAAACCCUGAUGCAGCGACGCCGCGUGAGUGAAGAAGUACUUCGUUAUGUAAAGCUCUAUCAGCAGGGAAGAAAAUGACGGUACCUGAGUCAGAAGCCCCGGCUAACUACGUGCCAGCAGCCGCGGUAAUACGUAGGGGGCAAGCGUUAUCCGGAUUUACUGGGUGUAAAGGGAGCGUAGACGGCAUGGCAAGUCUGGAGUGAAAGGCGGGGGCUCAACCCCCGGACUGCCCUGGAAACUGUACGGCUGGAGUGCAGGUGAGGUAAGUGGAAUUCCUAGUGUAGCGGUGAAAUGCGUAGAUAUUAGGAGGAACACCAGUGGCGAAGGCAGCUUACUGGACUGUAACUGACGUUGAGGCUCGAAAGCGUGGGGAGCAAACAGGAUUAGAUACCCUUGUAGUC
RNAcentral lists this ribosomal RNA (440 nucleotides) under uncultured bacterium. RNAcentral describes it as "partial 16S ribosomal RNA". It matches the Rfam family "Bacterial small subunit ribosomal RNA", at positions 338 to 795 of the family's 1533-position model. The record is from RNAcentral.